AUGCUUCUCCUAAAGACUAAGCCAUGCAUGCCUCCGAUAAGAAGAAGCAAUUCUCUCUGAAUCUGCGAACGGCUCCGCAAACCAGUUGUAAGCUAUAGCAAGAAUGCCCCGAAACCGGCCUCACCGCUUGGAGUAGAGGGUGACAGGGAUACCCCUGGUAAUUCUGAGGCUAAUACCUGCGUGUACGCCCCUGGACGCCCUCGUGGCGRCCGGGGACCGUGCGAGCAUUGAUCGCGGCGGGAAACUGCCCGGGAAAGGACGCACAGUCAAACCGCAGCAAAAAAGGGUCCUUCCGAGCACCGCCUCACGGCGGGGCAGAGUUGGUCCUUGCGGGUCUUGCGGUGCGCUUCUGACCUAUCAACUGUAUAGCAGUGUAAAGGACGUGCUAUGGUCACAACGGGUACAGAGGAUUAGGGUUCGAUCCUGGAGAGUGGGCCUGAGAGAUUGCUCACACUUCUAAGGAAGGCAGCAGGCGCGUAACGUUCCCAUUGGGCAAUGCCCGAGGGCGUUAGGGGAAAUAUGAAUGCCUGCCAAUUGGUGGGCAAUUCAAAUGGGUCUGUUCUAAACAGCCUCU
RNAcentral lists this ribosomal RNA (574 nucleotides) under Fuligo gyrosa. RNAcentral describes it as "SSU rRNA". The record is from RNAcentral. Lineage: Eukaryota; Evosea; Eumycetozoa; Physariida; Physaraceae.